Molecule: non-coding RNA, 101 nt
Filed under: Lysinibacillus sphaericus
Lineage: Bacteria; Bacillati; Bacillota; Bacilli; Caryophanales; Bacillaceae
Description: Lysinibacillus sp. SAM-I sequence
Rfam family: SAM riboswitch aptamer (S box leader)
About the family: The SAM riboswitch is found upstream of a number of genes which code for proteins involved in methionine or cysteine biosynthesis in Gram-positive bacteria.
Source: RNAcentral
UUCUUAUCAAGAGAAGCAGAGGGACUGGCCCAUUGAAGCUUCAGCAACCAACUUUUUUGUCAGGUGCUAAAUCCAGAAGACCAUUGAGUCGAAGAUGAGAA